GCCUCUGUAGCUCAGUUGGUAAAACACAAGUCUCUUAACCUUGUGGUUGUGGGUUCAAGCCCCACCGUGAACA
This is a non-coding RNA of Zea mays, 73 nucleotides long. The record is from Rfam. NCBI's taxonomy places the organism in Eukaryota, Viridiplantae, Streptophyta, Magnoliopsida, Poales, Poaceae.